RNAcentral lists this ribosomal RNA (492 nucleotides) under uncultured bacterium. RNAcentral's name for it is "partial 16S ribosomal RNA". It matches the Rfam family "Bacterial small subunit ribosomal RNA", at positions 29 to 507 of the family's 1533-position model. The record is from RNAcentral.
AGUGAACGCUGGCGGUAGGCCUAACACAUGCAAGUCGAACGGCAGCACAGUAAGAGCUUGCUCUUACGGGUGGCGAGUGGCGGACGGGUGGGGAAUACAUCGGAAUCUACUUUUUCGUGGGGGAUAACGUAGGGUAACUUACGCUAAUACCGCAUACGGCCUACGGGUGAAAGCAGGGGAUCUUCGGACCUUGCGCGAUUGAAUGAGCCGAUGUCGGAUUAGCUAGUUGGCGGGGUAAAGGCCCACCAAGGCGACGAUCCGUAGCUGGUCUGAGAGGAUGAUCAGCCACACUGGAACUGAGACACGGUCCAGAGUCCUACGGGAGGCAGCAGUGGGGAAUAUUGGACAAUGGGGGCAAGCCUGAUCCAGCAAUACCGCGUGGGUGAAGAAGGCAUUCGGGUUGUAAAGCCCUUUUGUUGGGAAAGAAAAGCAGCAGGUUAAUACCCCGCUGUUCUGACGGUACCCAAAGAAUAAGCACCGGCUAACUUCGUG